GGGAAGAGUCUGGUUUUGAUUGCGGGUGUCCGAGGGUGCUCUUGACAGCCCGGCAUGAGCUCGGCAUUCUCCGUGGCUUCCGAAUGACAGUCGCCAGUGAGAUACGAGGACGUCAGUCGGGGAGCCGGAUGAUGGGUGGAGAGAGGAGAAGGGGAUGGACGGGUGCGCGGUUUACACCCCGACGUGCGCGGAGUCCGGAGCGGUGCUGAUCAUGCUGGCCGGACUGCUGAUGUUUCCUCUGGGGUUCUCCACACCAUUUUUCCAGUACUACUGCGAGUCCACCCGUGUCUUCUGUGUGGGUCACUGCCGCAUGGGGUGGAGCUACGUGCUUGGCCAUCACGGGCACGGCGCUGGCCAUCUUCUGUCCGGUCCUGUCCAACUACACAGACAUGACAUUCGGGAAAGGACAAAGACAGGGACAGGUCGUCCCCCACCUCUAUGUCCAUCGUAUAGUCACCGAGGCCCGGCCUCGCUUGUCACUGAAGAACGAUCGAGAAACUUUCUACUGUCCUCACCGAGUGAUGAUGAAGAGAAUUUUCUUAAGUGUGACUGUGUCAUAACAGCACACAGACAGGACAGAAACAUGACAGGCGGCUUUAAAACCAUUUUUUUAGAUAACAGAUUCAUGCAAGAUAAAACCCAAAUCUGAGCUAAGGAGCGAAUUUAGGCAGAAACCCUGGCUUCUGUCAAAUCUUUUUGUUAAUUUGCCCUCAAGGUCCAAGUCAUAAUUUGAUGUGCUCGUGACUGAAUUCGUAAAUGUUUCAAGAGGUGGCUUCAAAAUUAAUGCAGUAAAGAUGCAGCAAGCAAGAAGAAUAAUGAUUAGUUAGGAAAACCCUAAAUUGAAAAUCUCAUAAAUAAAAUUUGAUGAGUAAAGUCAAACGUGUGCUAACAGAAAAACUAUUAACAUGAUUGCAUAUUUUUGGAGGUUGGGGUCGAAUUCCGUGAAUCAUUUAUUUCAAUCAUGCCUUCGGCUCUACAUCCACAUAAUCCGUCAGACAUUCAAGUCAAAAAUUCAUAUCAAGAACUAAAAAUCAACUGAUAACUAAUAAUAAUUAAUCAAGACAUGAUUGCUUUAUAAUCUUUGCUCUUAUUUAUUUGCAAUGAGGCUGAACAUGACAUCAACAUAUGUAAGUGUAUUUUGAGUUUUCCAAACUAUAUAUUGUAAAACUACUGUUUGAAUAUUCUUUAUAUAUCUUGAAGUUGUAUCA
RNAcentral lists this unclassified non-coding RNA (1208 nucleotides) under Pomacea canaliculata. Its description in RNAcentral is "uncharacterized LOC112562823, transcript variant X1". Lineage: Eukaryota; Metazoa; Mollusca; Gastropoda; Architaenioglossa; Ampullariidae. The record is from RNAcentral.